RNAcentral lists this ribosomal RNA (484 nucleotides) under uncultured bacterium. RNAcentral describes it as "partial 16S ribosomal RNA". It matches the Rfam family "Bacterial small subunit ribosomal RNA", at positions 30 to 507 of the family's 1533-position model. The record is from RNAcentral.
AUUGAACGCUGGCGGCAGGCCUAACACAUGCAAGUCGAACGGAUGAAGGGAGCUUGCUCCUGGAUUCAGCGGCGGACGGGCGAGUAAUGCCUAGGAAUCUGCCUGGUAGCGGGUGAUAACGUCAUGACACGGGCGCUAAUACCGCAUACGUCCUGACGGCGAACGUGGGGGAUCUUCGGACCUCACGCUCUCAGAUGAUCCUAGGUCGGAUUAGCUAGUUGGUGGGGUAAAGGCCUACCAAGGCGACGAUCCGUAACUGGUCUGAGAGGAUGAUCAGUCACACUGGAACUGAGACACGGUCCAGACUCCUACGGGAGGCAGCAGUGGGGAAUAUUGGACAAUGGGCGAAAGCCUGAUCCAGCCAUGCCGCGUGUGUGAAGAAGGUCUUCGGAUUGUAAAGCACUUUAAGUUGGGAGGAAGGGCAGUAAGUUAAUACCUUGCUGUUUUGACGGUACCAAAAGAAUAAGCACCGGCUAACUUCGUG